AUUGAACGCUGGCGGCAUGCCUAACACAUGCAAGUCGAACGGCAGCACGGCAGUAGCAAUACUGUGGGUGGCGAGUGGCGGACGGGUGAGGAAUACGUCGGGAUCUGCCCAGUCGUGGGGGAUAACUAGCCGAAAGGUUAGCUAAUACCGCAUACGACCGAGAGGUGAAAGCGGGGGACCGCAAGGCCUCGCGCGAUUGGAUGAGCCGACGUCGGAUUAGCUAGUUGGUGGGGUAAAGGCCCACCAAGGCGACGAUCCGUAGCUGGUCUGAGAGGAUGAUCAGCCACACUGGAACUGAGACACGGUCCAGACUCCUACGGGAGGCAGCAGUGGGGAAUAUUGGACAAUGGGCGCAAGCCUGAUCCAGCAAUGCCGCGUGUGUGAAGAAGGCCUCGGUUGUAAG
Molecule: ribosomal RNA, 403 nt
Filed under: uncultured bacterium
Lineage: Bacteria
Description: bacterial SSU rRNA
Rfam family: Bacterial small subunit ribosomal RNA
Source: RNAcentral